CAAUCUAUGCGUUAAACUAUAGAUGGCCUAUCUCCGUUACUAUUUUACUGGAUUUUCACAAACGAACUUUCAAAUGAAUUUGACAUACAUUGGUCUAAGAGGUAUGAGUGUAAUCGACUACCAGUCCUGUUAACUUAGUCAAUUGGAAAAAACCUUAGCAACGUUUUUACAUUCAUUUCAAGUAAUUUCACAACAUACAAUGAUUUAAAUUUGCAUCGACAAUAAAC
This 227-nucleotide long non-coding RNA is filed under the name Mytilus galloprovincialis (Mediterranean mussel). Lineage: Eukaryota; Metazoa; Mollusca; Bivalvia; Mytilida; Mytilidae. The record is from RNAcentral.